Molecule: small nuclear RNA, 151 nt
Organism: Monodelphis domestica (gray short-tailed opossum)
Lineage: Eukaryota; Metazoa; Chordata; Mammalia; Didelphimorphia; Didelphidae
Gene: U12
Rfam family: U12 minor spliceosomal RNA
About the family: Although the U12 sequence is very divergent from that of U2, the two are functionally analogous.
Source: Ensembl
AUGCCUUAAAUAUAUGAGCAAGGAAAAUAAUUUUUCAGGGUAAUGACCAAAUAUUCACUUUGAAUGUUUUAAGAAAUUUUGAGAGGGUACAGAGGGCCCCUAAGGUGACUAGCCAACUUUGGUGAGAUGCUUAGGUGUAGCGAUAUGCUGG